Molecule: ribosomal RNA, 924 nt
Filed under: Agrocybe chaxingu
Lineage: Eukaryota; Fungi; Basidiomycota; Agaricomycetes; Agaricales; Agrocybaceae
Description: partial large subunit ribosomal RNA
Rfam family: Eukaryotic large subunit ribosomal RNA
Source: RNAcentral
CAGGAUCCCCUAGUAACUGCGAGUGAAGCGGGAAAAGCUCAAAUUUGAAAUCUGGCGGUCCUUUGCGGCCGUCCGAGUUGUAAUCUAGAGAAGUGCUACCCGCGCUGGACCGUGUACAAGUCUCCUGGAAUGGAGCGUCACAGAGGGUGAGAAUCCCGUCUUUGACACGGACUGCCAGGGCUUAUGUGGUGCGCUCUCGAAGAGUCGAGUUGUUUGGGAAUGCAGCUCUAAAUGGGUGGUAAAUUCCAUCUAAAGCUAAAUACAGGCGAGAGACCGAUAGCGAACAAGUACCGUGAGGGAAAGAUGAAAAGAACUUUGGAAAGAGAGUUAAACAGUACGUGAAAUUGCUGAAAGGGAAACGUUUGAAGUCAGUCGCGUUGGCUGGGGAUCAACCUUGCUCUUGCAGGGCGCACUCUCUGGCUCGACGGGUCAGCAUCAGUUUCGGCCGCUGGAGAAAGGCUAGGGGAAUGUGGCAUCGCUUCGGUGAUGUGUUAUAGCCCUUGGUCGUAUGCAGCGGCUGGGACUGAGGAACUCAGCCUGCCCUUAACUGGGCCGGGUCUUUUUGACCACGCUUAACGGGCUUAGGAUGCUGGCAUAAUGGCUUUAAGCGACCCGUCUUGAAACACGGACCAAGGAGUCUAACAUGCUUGCGAGUGUUUGGGUGGAAAACCCGAGCGCGUAAUGAAAGUGAAAGUUGGGAACCCUGUCGUGGGGUGCACCGACGCCCGGACCAGACCUUCUUGCGACGGCUCCGCGGUAGAGCAGGCAUGUUGGGACCCGAAAGAUGGUGAACUAUGCCUGAAUAGGGUGAAGCCAGAGGAAACUCUGGUGGAGGCUCGUAGCGAUUCUGACGUGCAAAUCGAUCGUCAAAUUUGGGUAUAGGGGCGAAAGACUAAUCGAACCAUCUAGUAGCUGGUUCUGCAG